AUUGAACGCUGGCGGUAUGCCUUACACAUGCAAGUCGAACGGUAACGGGUCCUUCGGGAUGCCGACGAGUGGCGAACGGGUGAGUAAUAUAUCGGAACGUGCCCAGUAGUGGGGGAUAACUGCUCGAAAGAGCAGCUAAUACCGCAUACGACCUGAGGGUGAAAGGGGGGGAUCGCAAGACCUCUCGCUAUUGGAGCGGCCGAUAUCAGAUUAGCUAGUUGGUGGGGUAAAGGCCUACCAAGGCAACGAUCUGUAGUUGGUCUGAGAGGACGACGAGACACACGGGGACUGAGACACGGCCCAGACUCCUACGGGAGGCAGCAGUGGGGAAUUUUGGACAAUGGGCGCAAGCCCGAUCCAGCAAUGCCGCGUGCAGGAAGAAGGCCUUCGGGUUGUAAACUGCUUUUGUCAGGGAAGAAAUCUUCUGGGCUAAUACCCCGGGAGGAUGACGGUACCUGAAGAAUAAGCACCGGCUAACUACGUGCCAGCCGCCGCCGUAA
RNAcentral lists this ribosomal RNA (500 nucleotides) under uncultured bacterium. RNAcentral describes it as "partial 16S ribosomal RNA". It matches the Rfam family "Bacterial small subunit ribosomal RNA", at positions 30 to 523 of the family's 1533-position model. The record is from RNAcentral.